GAUGAGCGCUGGCGGCGUGCCUAAUACAUGCAAGUCGAGCGAACAGACGAGGAGCUUGCUCCUCUGACGUUAGCGGCGGACGGGUGAGUAACACGUGGAUAACCUACCUAUAAGACUGGGAUAACUUCGGGAAACCGGAGCUAAUACCGGAUAAUAUAUUGAACCGCAUGGUUCAAUAGUGAAAGACGGUUUUGCUGUCACUUAUAGAUGGAUCCGCGCCGCAUUAGCUAGUUGGUAAGGUAACGGCUUACCAAGGCAACGAUGCGUAGCCGACCUGAGAGGGUGAUCGGCCAAACUGGAACUGAGACACGGUCCAGACUCCUACGGGAGGCAGCAGUAGGGAAUCUUCCGCAAUGGGCGAAAGCCUGACGGAGCAACGCCGCGUGAGUGAUGAAGGUCUUCGGAUCGUAAAACUCUGUUAUUAGGGAAGAACAAAUGUGUAAGUAACUAUGCACGUCUUGACGGUACCUAAUCAGAAAGCCACGGCUAACUACGUG
Molecule: ribosomal RNA, 497 nt
Filed under: uncultured bacterium
Lineage: Bacteria
Description: partial 16S ribosomal RNA
Rfam family: Bacterial small subunit ribosomal RNA
Source: RNAcentral